This 472-nucleotide ribosomal RNA is filed under the name Hyalopeplinus nr. philippinensis UNSW ENT 00027659. RNAcentral describes it as "partial large subunit ribosomal RNA". It matches the Rfam family "Eukaryotic large subunit ribosomal RNA", at positions 695 to 1120 of the family's 3401-position model. Lineage: Eukaryota; Metazoa; Arthropoda; Insecta; Hemiptera; Miridae. The record is from RNAcentral.
UGGGUGCCAAAACCUAAAGGCGAAAUGAAAGUGAAGGAAAMUUYGUUUUCGAGGGAGGAUGGGUUGGGUUCCUCUACUGGGCCCGCCUCGCACUCCCGGGGCGUCUCUAUCUCAUCGCGAGAGGAGGCGCACCUAGAGCGUACACGCUGAUACCCGAAAGAUGGUGAACUAUGCCUGGCCAGGACGAAGCCAGGGGAAACCCUGGUGGAGGUCCGCAGCGAUUCUGACGUGCAAAUCGAUCGUCGGAGCUGGGUUUAGGGGCGAAAGACCAAUCGAACCAUCUAGUAGCUGGUUCCCUCUGAAGUUUCCCUCWGGAUAGCUUGCGCUCGGACGGAACGAGUCUCAUCCGGUAGAGCGAAUGAUUAGAGGCCUUGGGGUCGAAACGACCUCAACCUAUUCUCAAACUCCAAAUAGAUGAGAACCCCCGGCUUUCUUGAACCAUGUUUAUGAAGCCGGGGGCUUGGAUCAGAGU